Molecule: long non-coding RNA, 5839 nt
Filed under: Ananas comosus (pineapple)
Lineage: Eukaryota; Viridiplantae; Streptophyta; Magnoliopsida; Poales; Bromeliaceae
Description: long non-coding RNA (ACOM_LNC013638)
Source: RNAcentral
CUGUUCAUACGGACAGAGUCUCCCCUGUAUUUGCACGGCGUCACACGAGUACAAGAAGUAACCCAGGUAUAACCACAACCAAAUGAACAUACAAAUAACUAACAAUUAUAUAUUCAUACACCAUUCACAUCACAGGUUCACAUUUAUAUAUUCGAUAUUUAAACAUAAAUCCACAUCUAUCAGUUAAAAUGUUUCCAACCACAGAAACAGGUUUUGAAAUACUAAGAUGCAAAAUCCACAGAAAACCUUUUGAAAACUGUUUCCUACACGGAAACCUUUAUUCUUUAAAAACGCUACCACGAGGGGUAGAAAACCUUUUAUUUGACAAAAUCCAGAAAUUCAUUUAUUACAUUCACGAAAAUCCAUAUUUUUAACUGUAAUAAAAAUACUGAACCAUAUAACUAUCUUAAGCUAUCACAACUGAAACAAUAAGGGUAAUAACUAUACCGAAAUAACCUGGGUCGGAAGCUCUAUCGACCGCUACACACGUACCUCACGUCUCGUCCCACUAUCAUCGCCCCGCGAUACCUGAAAAAUGGUGGGGAGGUGAGAACAUGUAAACAUGUCUCCCCUCCAGUGGGUCCGCAAGCCGAAAAGCGGAGGAGUACUCACCGGAUCAGAAGAGAGCUAUACAACAACACGGAGAAACUAGAUAGACAUAAGUGCUGGUAAGUAAAGAUGCUGAUAAGUAAGGAGCUGACAAGUAUAGAUGCAGGUAAAUAAAACAGUAGCUACAAUAAACAGAUAAGAUGUACUGAAAAUAAACCUUACAACUACUGUAUGCAUGCGUCAACUGACGAAAAGCUCAAAAGUACCCAAUCUCGCUGCCCUAUUGUCCGAAGACCUCAGGCUCAUGCCACACUGCUCAACCUGUACCUGACCUCGCAAUGAAGCCCCUGGGUCAGAAGCACAGGGUACCUGACCCUCGCAAUGAAGCCCCUGGGUCAGAAGCAUAUACCCUCGCAAUAAAGCCCCUGGGCUCACGGGUUGGCAAUCCAACCACUUUUCCGGAAAAGAACACCCUCUUGCGGUGGAUCAGACCGCUGGUGUUCGUGAAAUGCGUACCUGCAGUGGCGAUCAAUGUAGUAUGCUCAAAGAUCAUCCAUCGGCAACUAGCCGACAAUCCAGCCCCUCAGGGCACACCGACCGUAUAGGCCAUCAGCAACUAAUCGGCUACGUAUGUCAAGAUAGAACUGUAGCAACUCGACCGAUCAUGUCACAAGUAUAGGAUAUGAACUCGACCAAUCAUGUCACAAGUAUAGGAUAUGAACUAGGCCAAUCAUGUCACAAGUAUAGAUAUGAACAACCGUCGGCCACUAGCCGACAAUCCGACCCCUCAGGGUACACCGACCUCAACAGUCAUCGGACAACAGAAGUCAAAGGACCGACCAACCAGGUCACUAAUACGAGGUACAAGAAACUACCAACCAGGUCGCAAGUGUAGGAGAUGCAACGUCGACCAACCAGGUCAUGGAGAUCACAUAGAAGAUCAGACCAACCAAAUCAUAAAUAUCAUAUACAGAUAAAGUCUACUCUACUCCUACACAUGAUACUACACCUGGCAACAACUAAGUAGAGUAAUAAGGAAACAGCAUGGGUGCAGGGCUCAACAUAUAUAUGGUAAAAGAUAUAAACAACAAGGGUAAAGGAAACGUCACCGAGCGUGCACCACUGUACCAACGUCGGAUCGAAGUACCCACCUAUACAAGUCUGGAUCAGAUCUCACGACGGCGGGGACAGAGCAACCGGACCUACGAAGGGUCCACUAGGUCAGAAGGAAACCCAAAUGUCAGCAACUAAAAUAAAAUCCCCAAACAAGGAACCACGGGAAUUGGUUUCCCAAGACCGAUUGCCGAAUCACAUCGGGUGUCCCGAAAACCGCACCGAGACUCUGUCGGGUCCACAGAAUUGUCUCGAAACGCACCGAUUCAUACUACGAGUCACCUGCUGCCCCAAAACAUUCCAAUUUGGAUGUUUUGGUAGCAAACACAAGAUAAUACCACUACACAAAUAUCGUCGGAUAAUUGUACGAAUCCGGGUUCCCGAAAGUGUCUAUUUCGACACCGGAACCCACCGUCGCUCACCCGUCAUCACCGAACCCACAAUGUGAUGAUGGUGACCAGUCAACAAGGCUAAGAGACUACUCACAGAGCAACCAAAUGACGUCGGAAGCAAUCCGAACCGAAACCGCGUUCUUUCAGCGAAUUUCGCCGAAAAACGCAUCGAAAUCGACUCUUCGAUUUCCGCAAAAGCUAACAGAUCAUGGACAAUCAGUCCAGAGGUCACCACACACGCCUAUACAUUGUCCACAGUAGCCACAAAAUGCACAAUUGCACAAAAGCCCCUCACUUUACAUAAAAUCCCAAUAUUUUAUGUAAAUCGGGCGAUAACAUGGCUCGUUCACGCAAACUGAGGACUUCCAAGGUCCGCCGAGACACGUACUGACAGGUCUCGACGUACUGGAGGCCGUGCUCAUGAUCUGGAGCACAAUGGCUCACUGUGGAAAGCGCGGGAGCAACCCGAAGGUUCAGCGAACAGCGCGCAGUCGGGGAAGAUUGCGCCAAACAGGGCUAACCGGACACUGUUGAUCCAAAGUGAGGCAGGCACUGUGAUCAGCACUGACCCACGAUCACCGUGCUCACCUCCGGAGGCAUCAGGACAGCCUCAGAUCGCCGGAUAAGCGUGCGCAAACCCAAAAACAGCAGCCAAACAGGCUCUAUAGGGUCGACACCGCCGAAACAGCGGAACGGAGUCUCCCCGACAGAAUCUAAGGUGAGCACGAUGAUCAGCAAUUUGCUACGAUCAUCGUGCUCCCUUCCGCAGAGACCGGGGAGGCUCGGGAAGCUCAGAACACAAAACAUCUAAAAUAAGCCCUAUUUCGGGCUUGGCCGGAGCAAGGUUGCUCCGGCCGGCUUCCGGCGGCACGGCGGCGCGCGCGGAGGCCAGGGAUGGGUGCGGGGGAGGUGAGGAGUGAGGUGCUCACCUCAGUUGGCGGCGAGGAGCGGCGGCGGCGACGACAGAACCAACCCAGCCCGCACGAGCUAAAGCUCGGUUUCCCAGGGUAGCUGCGGCCAAGGCGGCGGCCGGGGCGCUCGGGGACGGCAGCGGAAGGUUUCCUGAGGCCGGAGGGAGGCGGCACGGAUGGUUCCGGGCGGUGGCAGCGCGAGGAAGAAGCCGCGAGCUCACCUCGGCCCGCACAAGUCUGGGGCGGCCGCGGCUGGCCGAGGCGGCGACGGCGGCUCGCUGGGGUGGCGGCGACCGGCGAGGAGGGUCGCCGAGGGUGCGGGGACAGCAGCGGAAGCGGGCUCAGGCGGCGGCGGCCCGCGGGGAGGCCGUACGCAGGCCUAGGUCUGGGCUCGACCUAGGGAGCAGCAGGCGGCCAGCUCAGGUGCGGCGGCGCUCGGCGACGGCGGCGGUCGACGGGGACGCUUCGAUGAGGUCGGGGCGACGCCGGCAUGGUGCAGGGAGGCCGCUGCAGCCUCGGCCUGGGCUCUAACCCGAGAAGAAAAGAGAGAGAUGGAGAGAGAGAUGGAGAGAGAGGAAGAAAGGUGGCUGCGGCGGUGGCUGGCCGGCCGGGGUUCAGUAGGCGGCGGCCUGGGCGCAUGGCUAGGGCAGGGGAGCGAGGUGAGGGUGGCUGGGGGUUGCGGCAAGGCUAGGGUUAGGGUUUCCAAUGAGCAAACCCUAGAACAAGCUUAUAUACAUGGUGCAACUUUGCAAUUAAGUCCACCAAACCUCAGUAUUUAAUACUGAGUCCAUCACAGCGUAUGUAAAACGCGCGAACACCCCUCCAUGUGCGAUCCCACGCGAAACGGUACAUAAAAUAUUGCAACUUUUGCGAAAUUACCGUUUUGCCAUCACAGACCUCUCCUCGAUCAACGCGCAAUCUCCGCAGAUCCGUCCGUCAGAUUUGCGAACGGAUUGCACCAGUGCGAUCAGCACCUCGUAGACAACAGAUCUAUGAUUUUGGUUCACCUCGAACGGUCACGGAUUCGCGACGAAAUCCAUUCUCUCUCCAUAAGGCCAAAAUGACGCACAAUUACAUAUAAAACGCGUAUUUUUGGAUUUUCUCAAAAGCCGUGCAUCAAACUCAAAAUCCGUCAGCGCCAGUAGUCCAGAAUAGCUGAAUCCUUCGAAAUGAGCUAUUGGACUGCUAUGAACGGGGUCCGAUACGCACCAGAAGCCAACUCUACUCCAUGGCCUCUCCGGAAAAUCGGAGUUACUAUUCACUUAAGUGAAAACUAAUAAUCGUGUAUCUUCUCCGUUUUAGCUCAUUUUCUCCUGAAACUUGACGAGUGCUUAUGUAAUUAAAUUACACACAUAAACAUCGUCAACAGAGAGUUUAGUAGCACUGAAAAAAAUCUCAGUCCUUACAUCAGGCCUUGUUAUUGUGAGAUAAAUUAAGCGGCCAACGAGUCGCCUAUACACGCUAGGAUCAUCCAAAAGAUCUCUAUCAUCAAGUGUUAAAUGAAAAUUCUGCUCCAUCAGAAAAGAACAACCCUUGGCACCAAUCAUGCUUGUUUCAACAAGUAAAUCUAAAAUAUAUUUUCGUUGGCUUAGAAGAAUGCCAUCGGAAGAGCGAGCCACUUCAAUUCCUAAAAAAUAUUUUAGGCACCCCAAAUUUUUGAUAUGAAAAAGCUAUUAUGGCGGUGGGCCUCCAACAAAUACGUUCUAUAUUGUAACACACUGAACUUUAGCAAAUUACAAGGUUCGAGUGUUUGAUCUGUGUUCCGAGUUUUUUCAAGUAUUCUGGAGGGUCGUUGACAGUGUUCCGACCUAUGGCUCGCAUCCCGAGAAUCAAGGUUUAAAACGUAGCAUUAAAAUCUCUAAAGUGAAGAUUUUAGGUUGCUCUCGGGUUGGACUCUGCAGAACAGGGUAUCGGUACAGCAUUGGGCCCGUACCGGAACCAGACCUGGUACCGAUACAACAUCGGACUUGUACCGGUACCCAGUGUAUUUUUCUGCGAACCCGAGGCUCGGGUUUGCGCAGACUGCUGCUUGGUACCGGUACUCUUUUCCGUGUAUCGGUACGCAGUGCAGUGCAGACUGCACGUUGUUGGAGGGUAUUUUUGCAAAUGUUGAAACUCUAUAUAAUCCCUCCACAGCCCCUUGAGGACUCUUUUGAGCCCUAGAACGUGGAGAACUCAGGUGAGGACCCUCUCCCUUGAAUUUUCUCCCUUUUUCUUGUGAUUUAGCUUGGUUUGAUCUCCUCUUUUUGCUUCUCUUUGCUCUAUGUUGGUUUUUCUACUUUGGAGAAGCAUUGGAUUGAGGAUUGGAGCUCUUGGGAGGAAAGAUUUUCAACCCUAGCUUGUUUCUAACUUGGUUUGGAGCUUGAGGAGAGGUUAGUAUUUUAGAUCUUCUUUUUAGAUAUUGUUUUUGUGGAAUUUUUGAGAUGAAACCUAGAAAUGAGAAAUCUAGGAUUUAUUUGGGGAUUUUUGAUUUGUAGCUUUUGAAGCUUAAUUGAUUGGUUUAGAACUUUCCUCUAGGUUUGAUUAGAAGUGUUCUAACUUCCAUUUGGGAUUUGAGAGGGUUUUUCCAACAUUUAGGUGAGUUUUGACUCUAUGUUGGGUUGUUUAAUGUUAAUUCUGAGUACUUUUUCGUUACCUUGGUAUUCCUUCUGUAAUAUAUCCCAUGCUUCCUUUGAUCGAGUAGCGCCGGCAAUGUGGAAAAAUAUCGAAUCGUCAACUGAUUGUUGAAUAAAGAAAAACGUAUUUGCAUAUUUUUUCAGAUUCUCUCCGGUUGUUUCCUUGCAUCCUUUUUCGAUAAAAUCCUAUAAAUCUUGGGAUCACAGCAAUGUCCGCAUCUUCACGCACCAAAAAUCAUAAUUGUCCCCCUUGAAUAUC